This 828-nucleotide long non-coding RNA is filed under the name Salmo salar (Atlantic salmon). Its description in RNAcentral is "lncRNA (ENSSSAG00000104874.1)". Lineage: Eukaryota; Metazoa; Chordata; Actinopteri; Salmoniformes; Salmonidae. The record is from RNAcentral.
GCAGCAUCCUCUGGCAUUUCUCUCCCUCUUUCUGCCUUUCCCUGUCCCUCUUUCUUCCGCCCUCUUAAGGCCUCGACAUGAUUUAGUUCGAAGUCGGCUCGGCGAACCGAACAAGUGUGUUCGCAUACUCCCUUAAAAGACCUUCGCUUGGAAAACCUGAAAAAAAGCGGCGAUAAUACCAGUAUUUUUCAAUGAAAGAAUGUGCAAGAAAACGAGUCGUCUCUCAUUGAAUGACAACAAAGACUUAAUUGAAGAAUCUCUACUGUUGACCAAUCACCGACGAAGGGUCGUCGACUUCGGCUACCGACUUCGGCCCGCCUCAAUCGUUUGGCGUGUGCGCCCGAACAGCCCGAAAAAACCCUUAACGAAGUCCAAAAUUAACAAAAUUCUCACAAAAUGGCGCCAUAAUAUAAGCACAAACAGUUCCAAACUGUUUCAGCUGGGAAGCAUGCGGACGUAUUUCUUCCUUCCCUCUCUCUUUCCCCCUUUUCUUCCCGUGUUGCUCGGUUGUGUGCAUUUCCCUCACUCGCCCUCUUAUCUUGACCUUGAUGACUAUCCCGCUGUAUCCUUGAUCCUCCCCGACCCUGCCCCUCUGUACUUCCUGAUUUACUCUUCCGUGUGCACCGGAAUGUUCUCCUGAACAAUACGACAGCAGCAGCAACAGGGUGAGCCAGCGCCUCCAUCGAGCAGAGCAGCCGUCGCUAUUAACCCCGAAAGUGUGCUGGGAACCCCUGCAGAGAAGGGUGGGCAGCCCCAUUCAUACUCAAACACUGGGAGCCUACCCCGGCCAAACCUGGACGACACUGGGCCAAUUGUGCGCCGCCCUAC